CUUGCAAACAUGGUUUAAUCAAAUUAAACCCAUGAUCAAUUCUCUUUGUGUGUGACCCAUUGGGUUCCACAUCUAGCCAGCAGUGAGUCCAGGUGUAAUUUAAACUAAUUUGGUUAGAACACAAUCUAGCCGAUUUAGGUCAAAUCAAGCUGAACCAUUUUGAUCAAUCAGAACAGCUUUUAAUUAAUGAUCGAAUUAAACUCUUUCAUUCGAUCAAACUCACAAGACAUGAUUGACAUCUAGCAAUGUAUCAUGUCUAUCUGGAAGAUAUGAAAUUUUAGUAAAAAUAUCAAAAAUACCCUUCAGUAAAAAAUUACCAUGCAACUUGAUCUUACGAUCACCCUGCAUCCCGAAUAUAAGUUUGGGUAUGGAAAAAUGUCAAACCCAAUUUUAUAUUCACAUUUCUCUCGAUCAAAUAAUAAUGAUUCAAUUUAUGAAAUAUUAGAAACUAUUUCUAAUUUUUUUUAUAAUGCUCUGAUCAAAGUCUUCCUGAAUCAUUAUUUGAUUGAAGCAAAUAGGAUGUGAUCUCCUCUUACUAGGAGUGAUCGUUUCCAUA
This 556-nucleotide long non-coding RNA is filed under the name Elaeis guineensis (African oil palm). RNAcentral's name for it is "long non-coding RNA (EGUI_LNC055210)". The record is from RNAcentral. Lineage: Eukaryota; Viridiplantae; Streptophyta; Magnoliopsida; Arecales; Arecaceae.